GUGAAAUGUUCUGAGACCUGUUCGGGGACCUGUCAGCCAAUCCUGUCAUAACAAGUGGAUGAGGGUCAGAGAUAAACAUUUUCAGAGUUGACUUUGGAAUACAGUGCUUCUCUGCGAUACAACAGACACAAAGGGUGAAGCUCGACAGUUGCCAAUGUGAUGAACGGAGAGGGAAGGAAGCAAGCUGGAUUUUCAAGUGUUCGUUUCAGUUUCUGUCAGGGGCCGACUCCAGGACAUGUCCGGGUCGCUGACGGGACGCAGGAGUCAGAGGCCAUCCAUUCACUCCAGUCUCCUCCGCAGCAAUUCGUUUGCAGGUUUCCGCGAUGAUGUUCCGUCGGAUCCUUUCUUGGCGGUAAGUCGUUCAGUUUAAAUUGUUCAUUUCUGUAUAACUACUCAACAAUGGUGCAGUAAAAAAGUACCAAAUAGUAGGGAAAAAAAUUACAUUACAGCUGACUGAGCUGAGAAGAAUUAAUAUCUCACUUUGAAUGUUAUAAAAUUUGAUUCAAUUCUUUUUGAGAAGUGACCAGGGUGUUUUUGUAUGAAGGAAUCAUGGAAUAGCAAAAAUUAUAUACCUUCAGUUAUAACAAGGACAACAGUAAUCAUCGCUUUCCAAGGUCUUCUAUGCAUUUAAAUAGUCUAUUCUCUAGCCUCUUUUGUGUUCAAAGUGAAAUUGAAAGUGAAUUGCUGUUCAAUUGGGAUUCAUGUGGUUGCUUCGGGCAGUUUCUCUUCAGAACAAAAAAAUUACCUAUAAAUUAGUUUGCAUAAAUGAUUACUUUUAGAUGAUUGCACUCUGUAAUAAUCAUAUUGAUUGUUUUCCUGUACCGGUAACUGACCUAGAUACGUGGCCAGUAAAAGCAUUGCAGCGUGCAUAAUGGUGAUGAUCAAUAUCUGUUAAUGGGUUAAAAGAUGCACAUGGUAUCCUGAUGCAAAGACUUAGACAUGGAGUCUCCGCAUUGUAUGACCUGACUGUCUUACAAGUUACAAUGGUCAUGAAAUGCUUGUAGACUUGACCGUCUUACAAGUUACUAUGGUCAUGAAAUGCUUUUUUACCUGACCGUCUUACAAGUUACAAUGGUCAUUAAAUGCUUGUGGACUUGACCGUCUUACAAUUACAAUGGUCAUGAAAUGCUUGUGGACUUGACCGUCUUACAAGUUACAAUGGUCAUGAAAUGCUUGUGGACUUGACCGUCUUACAAUUACAAUGGUCAUGAAAUGCUUGUGGACUUGACCGUCUUACAAGUUACAAUGGUCAUGAAAUGCUUUUGGACUUGACCGUCUUACAAGUUACAAUGGUCAUGAAAUGCUUGUAGACUUGACCGUCUUACAAGUUACUAUGGUCAUGAAAUGCUUUUUUACCUGACCGUCUUACAAGUUACAA
Long non-coding RNA from Lytechinus variegatus (green sea urchin), 1378 nucleotides. RefSeq lists it as uncharacterized. The record is from RefSeq and is a predicted model, not a curated record. NCBI's taxonomy places the organism in Eukaryota, Metazoa, Echinodermata, Echinoidea, Temnopleuroida, Toxopneustidae. The transcript is spliced from 3 exons.